This 224-nucleotide long non-coding RNA is filed under the name Mytilus galloprovincialis (Mediterranean mussel). The record is from RNAcentral. Lineage: Eukaryota; Metazoa; Mollusca; Bivalvia; Mytilida; Mytilidae.
GAUUUAGAAUACUAUAGUCAUGGUUAUGAUGUGAACCUUUAUUUAUACACUAUAGUUACCGGAUGUGCUGUUUUAGCAUGCCUAGUGGUUAUUGUAUGUACAAUUUACAUUACAUGUAAGUUAACAAUCAUGAGGAGAAAUAUCUCGUGGACUGAUAGCUCAAUUAUUCAGAAAAGAAUCCGAACAUCAGCAUUAACCGUAGUUCUCAUUUGUAUUAUAUUUUU